UGCCUAACACAUGCAAGUCGAACGCGACUGAGGGCUUCGGUUCUCAGUUGAGUGGCGAACGGGUGAGUAACACGUGGGUGACCUACCUUCGAGUGGGGGAUAACGUCCCGAAAGGGACGCUAAUACCGCAUAACAUCCCGCCUUUGAACAGGCGGACAUCAAAGCCGGGGAUCGCAAGACCUGGCGCUUGAAGAGGGGCCCGCGUCCGAUUAGCUAGUUGGUGAGGUAACGGCCCACCAAGGCGACGAUCGGUAGCCGGCCAGAGAGGGCGGACGGCCACACUGGGACUGAGACACGGCCCAGACUCCUACGGGAGGCAGCAGUGGGGAAUUGUUCGCAAUGGGCGCAAGCCUGACGACGCAACGCCGCGUGGAGGAUGAAGGUCUUCGGAUUGUAAACGCC
RNAcentral lists this ribosomal RNA (402 nucleotides) under uncultured organism. RNAcentral describes it as "bacterial SSU rRNA". It matches the Rfam family "Bacterial small subunit ribosomal RNA", at positions 45 to 433 of the family's 1533-position model. The record is from RNAcentral.